Molecule: transfer RNA, 71 nt
Filed under: Camelus bactrianus (Bactrian camel)
Lineage: Eukaryota; Metazoa; Chordata; Mammalia; Artiodactyla; Camelidae
Also listed under: 1 other name
Rfam family: tRNA
About the family: Transfer RNA (tRNA) molecules are approximately 80 nucleotides in length. Their secondary structure includes four short double-helical elements and three loops (D, anti-codon, and T loops).
Source: Rfam by way of RNAcentral
GAAGGUAUAGCUCAGUGGUAGAGCACAUGCUUAGCGCACACGAGGUCCUGGUUCAAUCCCCAGUCCCUGCA